CCUACGUGAGGCAGCAGUGGGGAAUAUUGCGCAAUGGGCGAAAGCCUGACGCAGCGACGCCGCGUGAGGGAUGAAGGUCUUCGGAUCGUAAACCUCUGUCAGCAGGGAAGAACGGUCACUGUGCUAAUCAGCAGUGAAUUGACGGUACCUGCAAAGGAAGCACCGGCUAACUCCGUGCCAGCAGCCGCGGUAAUACGGAGGGUGCGAGUGUUAAUCGGAAUUACUGGGCGUAAAGCGCUCGUAGGCGGUAUGUCAAGUCAAGGGUGAAAUCCCCGCGCUCAACGUGGGAACUGCCUUUGAAACUGGCAAACUGGAGUGUGUGAGAGGAUAGUGGAAUUCCAGGUGUAGGAGUGAAAUCCGUAGAUAUCUGGAGGAACAUCAGUGGCGAAGGCGACUAUCUGGCACAUAACUGACGCUGAGGAGCGAAAGCGUGGGUAGCAAACAGGAUUAGAUACCCCAGUAGUC
RNAcentral lists this ribosomal RNA (465 nucleotides) under uncultured bacterium. RNAcentral describes it as "partial 16S ribosomal RNA". It matches the Rfam family "Bacterial small subunit ribosomal RNA", at positions 338 to 795 of the family's 1533-position model. The record is from RNAcentral.